CGUACAGGUCUCCGUAGGUGAACCUGCGGAGGGAUCAUUACACAAAUAUGAAGGCGGGCUGGAACCUCUCGGGGUUACAGCCUUGCUGAAUUAUUCACCCUUGUCUUUUGCGUACUUCUUGUUUCCUUGGUGGGUUCGCCCACCACUAGGACAAACAUAAACCUUUUGUAAUUGCAAUCAGCGUCAGUAACAAAUUAAUAAUUACAACUUUCAACAACGGAUCUCUUGGUUCUGGCAUCGAUGAAGAACGCAGCGAAAUGCGAUAAGUAGUGUGAAUUGCAUAAUUCAGUGAAUCAUCGAAUCUUUGAACGCACAUUGCGCCCUUUGGUAUUCCAAAGGGCAUGCCUGUUCGAGCGUCAUUUGUACCCUCAAGCUUUGCUUGGUGUUGGGCGUCUUGUCUCUAGCUUUGCUGGAGACUCGCCUUAAAGUAAUUGGCAGCCGGCCUACUGGUUUCGGAGCGCAGCACAAGUCGCACUCUCUAUCAGCAAAGGUCUAGCAUCCAUUAAGCCUUUUUUUUCAACUUUUGACCUCGGAUCAGGUAGGGAUACCCGCUGAACUA
This 559-nucleotide ribosomal RNA is filed under the name uncultured fungus. RNAcentral's name for it is "eukaryotic LSU rRNA". The stretch from base 206 to 359 matches the Rfam family "5.8S ribosomal RNA". Lineage: Eukaryota; Fungi. The record is from RNAcentral.